Molecule: small nuclear RNA, 107 nt
Filed under: Erinaceus europaeus (western European hedgehog)
Lineage: Eukaryota; Metazoa; Chordata; Mammalia; Eulipotyphla; Erinaceidae
Description: U4 spliceosomal RNA
Rfam family: U4 spliceosomal RNA
About the family: U4 small nuclear RNA (U4 snRNA) is a component of the major U2-dependent spliceosome. The structure of U4 snRNA from yeast and human has been reported. U4 snRNA presents a k-turn RNA motif in the 5p-SL related to recognition of Snu13 protein.
Source: Rfam by way of RNAcentral
AGCUUUGCGCAGUGGCAGUAUCGUAGCCAAUGAGGUUUAUCCGAGGCGCGAUUAUUGCUAAUUGAAAACUUUUCCCAAAAAUUAAAAUUUAGGGAUAGAUAUUACUU